AUGGGCAUGUGCCCAAGAGGCUUAGGAAGUAGAGGAAAGUGGCUAUGGCUGCGCAUAACCAUUCUUGGAUGCUCAACAUCCACGGAUUGCUUGGCUUGCGUGAGCUCAUCCAGCCUUCACGCGCUGUGUCCCAAGUGCAAUUCAGUGACCAACCUGAUCACCUCCUUUGGCGUUGUACUGAGAGCGGCACCGUGCAAAGCCUCCUUCGGAGGUUCCACCGGAUGCAGAGCUUGGAAGCUUACCUGGCCCUCGUGGGCACCGGCACCACGCGAGGUGAAGGUCUUCUUUCUGCUUGCUGCCCUUGAUAGAUUCUAG
This 315-nucleotide ribosomal RNA is filed under the name Triticum aestivum (bread wheat). RNAcentral describes it as "partial small subunit ribosomal RNA". The record is from RNAcentral. Lineage: Eukaryota; Viridiplantae; Streptophyta; Magnoliopsida; Poales; Poaceae.